CAAUAGCGUAUAUUGAAGUUGUUGCGGUUAAAAAGCUCGUCGUUGGAUUUCUGUUGAGGUCGAACAGUGCCGCCCUAUGGGUGCGCAACUGGCUCGGCUUCGGCAUCUUCUUGGAGAGCGCAUCUGCACUUAACUGUGUGGAUCGUACUUCAAGUCAGUUACUUGGAGGAAUUGUGAGUGUUUCAAGCAGGCUUACGCCGUUGAAUCCGUUAGCAUGGAAUAAUAGGAUAGGACCUCGGUUCUAUUUUGUUGGUUUUGAGAGCUGGGGCAGCGAUUGAUAGGGACGGAUGGGGGCGUCCGAACUUUACUGUCAGAGGUGAAAUUCUUAGAUCGGUCAAAGGCGAACUACUGCGAACGCAUUCGCCAAGAAUGUUUUCUUUAA
Molecule: ribosomal RNA, 382 nt
Filed under: uncultured eukaryote
Lineage: Eukaryota
Description: partial 18S ribosomal RNA
Rfam family: Eukaryotic small subunit ribosomal RNA
Source: RNAcentral